UACGAAGGGUGCAAGCGUUAAUCGGAAUUACUGGGCGUAAAGCGUGCGUAGGUGGUCUUUUAAGUCCGUUGUGAAAGCCCUGGGCUCAACCUGGGAAUGGCAGUGGAUACUGGAAGGCUGGAGUACGGUAGAGGAGGGUGGAAUUCCCGGUGGAGCGGUGAAAUGCGUAGAUAUCGCUUGGAACGCCAACGGUGAAAACAGGUUGCUGGGGGUGUGCUGACGCUGAGACACGAAAGCCAGGGGAGCGAACGGG
Molecule: ribosomal RNA, 253 nt
Filed under: uncultured bacterium
Lineage: Bacteria
Description: partial 16S ribosomal RNA
Rfam family: Bacterial small subunit ribosomal RNA
Source: RNAcentral